UGGGGAAUUUUGGACAAUGGGGGAAACCCUGAUCCAGCCAUCCCGCGUGUGCGAUGAAGGCCUUCGGGUUGUAAAGCACUUUUGGCAGGAAAGAAACGUCAUGGGUUAAUACCCCGUGAAACUGACGGUACCUGCAGAAUAAGCACCGGCUAACUACGUGCCAGCAGCCGCGGUAAUACGUAGGGUGCAAGCGUUAAUCGGAAUUACUGGGCGUAAAGCGUGCGCAGGCGGUUCGGAAAGAAAGAUGUGAAAUCCCAGAGCUCAACUUUGGAACUGCAUUUUUAACUACCGGGCUAGAGUGUGUCAGAGGGAGGUGGAAUUCCGCGUGUAGCAGUGAAAUGCGUAGAUAUGCGGAGGAACACCGAUGGCGAAGGCAGCCUCCUGGGAUAACACUGACGAUCAUGCAAGAAAGGGUGGGGAGCAAACAGG
This 429-nucleotide ribosomal RNA is filed under the name Acidobacteriota bacterium. RNAcentral's name for it is "Acidobacteria bacterium partial 16S ribosomal RNA". It matches the Rfam family "Bacterial small subunit ribosomal RNA", at positions 355 to 776 of the family's 1533-position model. Lineage: Bacteria; Pseudomonadati; Acidobacteriota. The record is from RNAcentral.